AUUGAACGCUGGCGGCAGGCCUAACACAUGCAAGUCGAACGCGUGGCGGACGGGUGAGUUAUGUCUGGGAAACUGCCUGAUGGAGGGGGAUAACCACUGGAAACGGUAGCUCAUACCGCAUUCCCCCAGAUGUGCCCAUAUGGGAGUAGAUAGUGGGUGGGGUAACGGCUCACCAAGGCGACGAUCCCUAGCUGGUCUGAGAGGAUGACCAGCAACACUGAAAAGGAGACACGGUCCAGACUCCAACGGGAGGCAUAAGUGGGGAAUAGUGGACAAUGGGCGCAAGCCUGAUGCAGCCAUGCCGAGUGUAUGAAGAAGGCAUUCGGGUUGUAAAGUAAUUUCAGAGGGGAGGCGGUACCCGCAGAAGAAGCACCGGCUAACUCCGUGCCAGCAGCCGCGGUAAUUC
This 406-nucleotide ribosomal RNA is filed under the name uncultured bacterium. Its description in RNAcentral is "partial 16S ribosomal RNA". It matches the Rfam family "Bacterial small subunit ribosomal RNA", at positions 30 to 526 of the family's 1533-position model. The record is from RNAcentral.